UACGUAUGGUGCAGGCGUUAUCCGGAUUUACUGGGCGUAAAGGGAGCGCAGGCGGUGCGCCAAGUCUGAUGUGAAACCCCGGGGCUCAACCCCGGGCAUGCAUUGGAAACUGGCGGGCUGGAGUGCCGGAGAGGUAAGCGGAAUUCCUAGUGUAGCGGUGAGAUGCGUAGAUAUUAGGAGGAACACCAGUGGCGAAGGCGGCUUACUGGACGGCAACUGACGCUGAGGCUCGAAAGCGUGGGGAGCAAACAGG
This 253-nucleotide ribosomal RNA is filed under the name uncultured bacterium. RNAcentral's name for it is "partial 16S ribosomal RNA". It matches the Rfam family "Bacterial small subunit ribosomal RNA", at positions 524 to 776 of the family's 1533-position model. The record is from RNAcentral.